CGAGCCCCUCAUCUUUCCUCAGCGCCAUCGUAGGACAAUGCGCUCAUCUUGGCGUGGAGUGGCCAUUGCCUCUCUCUGACGGACGUGACUUCACUGUCUUCCUCUCUUCUCUUCACCCUGGGAAAUGCAAUGGCUGAUGUUUCUGCUGUCUUAUCAUCUUGCCUUUGUUACCUGCAAUAUGGAGGUGUCUUCCAUGCCUUCUCAUGCCUUUCAGGACCAAAAGCUAGGUAACUUUUCCAGCCAUUCAAAUCCCAUUGUUAUAUCAAAAAACUACAUAGUGUUAAAGAGUUUCAGUCAAAGAUGCAUCGUUUAUUGCCUGGUAGUGACCGUUUAAAUUCAGUUCAUUGAUGUGGUACUAUAUUAUUUCUACUACUAACCCAUACUUAAUGUCUAACGUAUGUUAAUUUAUGCCUCAC
This 416-nucleotide long non-coding RNA is filed under the name Fukomys damarensis (Damara mole-rat). RNAcentral describes it as "lncRNA (ENSFDAG00000026950.1)". Lineage: Eukaryota; Metazoa; Chordata; Mammalia; Rodentia; Bathyergidae. The record is from RNAcentral.